RNA transcript from Rosa chinensis, 2224 nucleotides. It is a transcript of the gene named nardilysin-like, with no coding region annotated. The transcript has 3 exons. The record is from RefSeq and is a predicted model, not a curated record. NCBI's taxonomy places the organism in Eukaryota, Viridiplantae, Streptophyta, Magnoliopsida, Rosales, Rosaceae.
UACAAGAAGGAAAGCUCAAGAUCUGAGUUCCGAGAAAUCCUACCAAACCCAAAGCUGGGAGAAGAAACUCAAAGCAAUUGUUGAAUCUGAAGAUGAUGCGCAGCAGCGGCAGCUCAACAAGAGGUAUGCUUUUUUCUCUCUCCGUCAACAAUUUCAUCAUGGCUUUGUUUCAUUCGAGACAAACCCAUGUAGAGAGAAAACCAGCCUCAAAGCCCAAAGUUGAGGAGGAUGCCUUGAAGUUGUUCCGUGAAAUGCUUCACAGCCGUCCCCUGCCUUGUGUUGUUCGUUUCACUCAGUUAUUGGGUCAACUUGUCAAAUUGAAACACUAUUCUGCCGUCAUCUCUUUGAAUAGACAGAUGCUUCUCUCUGGAAUCGCUUCUGAUGACUAUACUCUAAACAUUAUCAUUAAGUGCUAUUGCCAUUUGAAUCAAAUGGGGUUUGGCUUAUCUGUCUUGGGAACAUUCUUCAAAUUGGGUCUUCAACCAGACGUCGUCACCUUCACCACUCUAAUCAACGGCUUUGUUCUCCACAAUCAAGUGCCUGAGGCUGCACGAAUUUUCACCAAAAUGCUGGAGACAGGUCAUUGUAAGCCCAAUGUGGUUACGUUCAACACGCUAAUGAAGGGCUUUUGCAUGAGGGGAGACAACACUGCUGCAAUUCAAUUACUUGGGAAGAUGGAAGAAGAAAGAGGAUGCGAGCCUAACGUAGUUUCCUAUAGCACCAUCAUUGACAGUCUUUGCAAGGACACACUAAUUGAUGAAGCAUUCAACCUCUUCGCAGAAAUGAUCAGUAGAGGUAUUACUCCAGACGUUGUUACUUACACGUCUUUGAUUCACGGAGUUUGCAAACUAGGCCAGUGGAAACAAGCUACGAGGUUGCUUGAUGAAAUGUUGAGUACAUGUAUCUUUCCAGAUGUUUGCACCUUCAAUGUCUUGGUUGAUACUUUCUGUAAGGAAGGGAUGGUCAUGGAAGCCAAAAGUGUGAUUCAAAAGAUGAUUCAAAGACAUAUUCAGCCUGAUACGAUUACAUACAACUCACUUAUGGACGGUUACUGUUUGCGAGGAGGAACGGACAAGGCAAGACAAGUUUUUGAUGUUAUGAUUAGCAAGGGCUCCAUGGUUGAUGUUCAGAGCUGUAGCAUAUUGAUACAUGGAUAUUGCAAGGGUAAAAUGCUCGAUAAGGCUUACAAGAUUUUCAAGGAAAUGCCUCGUAUGGAACUUGUUCCUGAUACCGUUACUUAUACCACUCUUAUUGAUGGUCUUUGCAAAGUGGGGAGAAUUCAAGAAGCAGAAGAGUUGUUCUCUGAGAUGCAGGGUUGUGGCCAGCUUCCAAAUGUUCAAACUUAUGCUGUGAUACUUUAUGGCCUGUGUAACAAUCAUCAACUUUCUACGGCAGUAGAAUUGCUCACAGAGAUGGAAGCCAGAGAACUGGAACUCGAUAUUGUAAUUUACAAUAUUGUAAUUGAAGGUUUGUGCAAAGCUGGAGAAAUUGAAUCCGCAAGAGACCUCUUCUGUGGUUUGUCAUCAAAAGGAGUUCAGCCUAAUGUCAGAACACACACUGUAAUGAUUCAUGGGCUUUGUCAUCAUGGCUUCAUAGUUGAAGCAGAAAAGUUGCUGAGAGAAAUGGGAGGGAAAGGAUGUUCUCCAAAUGGUUGGACCUAUAACACCAUUAUCCGAGGUUUUAUCAAUAACAAUGAGACAUCAAGGGCUACGAGACUUAUUCAAGAAAUGCUUGAGAGGGGUUUCUCUGCAGAUGCAUCAACUAUGGAAUUGAUUGUUGAUUUAUUGUCGAAGGAUACGGUAGAUCCUGGUUUAUUAGCAUUGCUUAAAGAUUCAGUCUGAAGUUAGGCUUUAAUAUCUGUGAGACUAAUCAACCCAAAACCCUGGUCUUUUUGGGUCUGAUGGGUCGGUCCACUUUCUCCUCGGACGAUAUUGUAAUAAAGUCUCAAAAUGAUAACAAACUGUACAGAUUAAUCAAGCUUGAGAAUGGCCUCACUGCAUUGCUCAUUCAUGACCCUGAGAUAUACUCACAAGGGUAUAUGUGGGUAUAAGAGUCUUGAACCCAGUGAAGAAGAUUAAGCAGCAGCUAAAGGUGGAGAUGGUGCCUCUGAGACUAAGAAGGCAGCAGCAGCAAUUUGCGUUGGAAUAGGCAGCUUUUCUGACCCUAUGGGAGCACAAGGGCUUGCACACUUUCUUGAACAUAUGCUCUUCAUGGGGAGUACAAA